Long non-coding RNA from Terrapene triunguis (Three-toed box turtle), 111 nucleotides. RefSeq lists it as uncharacterized. The record is from RefSeq and is a predicted model, not a curated record. The transcript has 3 exons. Lineage: Eukaryota; Metazoa; Chordata; Testudines; Emydidae.
GGGAACACUACAGAGGCAGUACACAUUCCUAUAAGGCACCAUGAACUUCUCUCUCAGCCAGGUAUGGACAUAUUGGGACUGUUUGGUGAAGAAUCACUAAAAUGGCAACAG